RNAcentral lists this ribosomal RNA (775 nucleotides) under uncultured bacterium. RNAcentral describes it as "bacterial SSU rRNA". It matches the Rfam family "Bacterial small subunit ribosomal RNA", at positions 8 to 828 of the family's 1533-position model. The record is from RNAcentral.
AGAGUUUGAUCCUGGCUCACAACGUACGCUGGCGGCACGCCUAACACAUGCAAGUCGAACGAAGUAGCAAUACUUAGUGGCAGACGGGUGAGUAACAUGUGGGUAUCUACCCUUUGGCCUGGAAUAACACGAGGAAACUUGUGCUAAUACCGGAUAAGUCUUUACGGAGAAAGCUUUAUGCACCAUUGGAUGAGCCCGCACUUGAUUAGUUUGUUGGUAGGGUAAUGGCCUACCAAGACUAUGAUCAAUAGCUGAUUUGAGAGGAUGAUCAGCCACAUUGGGACUGAGACACGGCCCAAACUCCUACGGGAGGCAGCAGUGGGGAAUCUUGCACAAUGGAGGAAACUCUGAUGCAGCGAUGCCGCGUGAGUGAAGAAGGCCUUUGGGUUGUAAAGCUCUUUCGUCGGGGAAGAAAAUGACUGUACCCGAAUAAGAAGGUCCGGCUAACUUCGUGCCAGCAGCCGCGGUAAUACGAAGGGACCUAGCGUAGUUCGGAAUUACUGGGCUUAAAGAGUUCGUAGGUGGUUGAAAAAGUUGGUGGUGAAAUCCCAGAGCUUAACUCUGGAACUGCCAUCAAAACUUUUCAGCUAGAGUAUGAUAGAGGAAAGCAGAAUUUCUAGUGUAGAGGUGAAAUUCGUAGAUAUUAGAAAGAAUACCAAUUGCGAAGGCAGCUUUCUGGAUCAUUACUGACACUGAGGAACGAAAGCAUGGGUAGCGAAGAGGAUUAGAUACCCUCGUAGUCCAUGCCGUAAACGAUGUGUAGAGUUUGAUCCUG